GGGUAGUUAGUUCAGUGGAAGAGCGUUCGCCUCACACGCGAAAGGUCGCAGGUUCGAACCCUGCACUACCCA
This 72-nucleotide transfer RNA is filed under the name Elusimicrobiota bacterium. RNAcentral's name for it is "tRNA-Val". It matches the Rfam family "tRNA". From Rfam's summary of the family: Transfer RNA (tRNA) molecules are approximately 80 nucleotides in length. Lineage: Bacteria; Pseudomonadati; Elusimicrobiota. The record is from RNAcentral.